Molecule: ribosomal RNA, 253 nt
Filed under: uncultured bacterium
Lineage: Bacteria
Description: partial 16S ribosomal RNA
Rfam family: Bacterial small subunit ribosomal RNA
Source: RNAcentral
UACGUAGGGUGCGAGCGUUGUCCGGAAUUACUGGGCGUAAAGAGCUCGUAGGUGGUUUGUCGCGUUGUUCGUGAAAACCGGGGGCUUAACCCUCGGCGUGCGGGCGAUACGGGCAGACUUGAGUACUGCAGGGGAGACUGGAAUUCCUGGUGUAGCGGUGGAAUGCGCAGAUAUCGGGAAGAACACCCGUGGCGAAGGCGGUUCUCUGGGACGGUACUGACGCUGAGACGCGAAAGCGUGGGGAGCGAACAGG